RNAcentral lists this ribosomal RNA (496 nucleotides) under uncultured bacterium. Its description in RNAcentral is "partial 16S ribosomal RNA". It matches the Rfam family "Bacterial small subunit ribosomal RNA", at positions 28 to 507 of the family's 1533-position model. The record is from RNAcentral.
GAUGAACGCUGGCGGCGUGCCUAAUACAUGCAAGUAGAACGCUGAAGGAGGAAGUUGCUUCUUUCGGGUGGGGUGGGGAACGGGGGGGUAAGGGUUAGGUACCUGGCUGGGUGGGGGGGGGUAAUAAUGGAAAAGAAAAGUAAUUACGGAUAAAAAGAAACGUUGGAUGAAAUCCACUUAAAAGGGGCAAUUGCCCCACUAACAGAUGGGACUGCGUUGUAUUUGCUUGGUGGGGAGGUAACGGCUCACCAAGGCGACGAUACAUAGCCGACCUGAGAGGGUGAUCGGCCACACUUGGACUGAGACACGGCCCAGACUCCUACGGGAGGCAGCAGUAGGGAAUCUUCGGCAAUGGACGGAAGUCUGACCGAGCAACGCCGCGUGAGUGAAGAAGGUUUUCGGAUCGUAAAGCUCUGUUGUAAGAGAAGAACGAGUGUGAGAGUGGAAAGUUCACACUGUGACGGUAUCUUACCAGAAAGGGACGGCUAACUACGUG